This 378-nucleotide ribosomal RNA is filed under the name uncultured eukaryote. RNAcentral's name for it is "SSU rRNA". It matches the Rfam family "Eukaryotic small subunit ribosomal RNA", at positions 587 to 972 of the family's 1831-position model. The record is from RNAcentral.
AGCUCCAAUAGCGUAUAUUAAAGUUGUUGCAGUUAAAAAGCUCGUAGUUGGAUAUCUGGUGGGAGGGAUCGGUCCCACAUUCUAUGUGGUAACUAUAUCCUCUCCGGCCAUUCCUGGGUGGAUCCUGUCUGGCAUUAAAUUGUCAGUCAGAGAAUACACAUCGUUUACUGUGAAAAAAAAACAGAGUGUUUAAAGCAGGCUUAUGCCAUCGAAUAUAUUAGCAUGGCAUAAUAAGAUAGGACCCUGGUACUAUUUUGUUGGUUUGCGUACCGAGGUAAUGAUUAAUAGGGACAGUUGGGAGUAUUUGUAUUCAGUAUUCAGUGGUGAAAUACUUAGACCUACAAACUACUGCAAAACCAUUUACCAAGGAUGUUUUCA